Molecule: small nucleolar RNA, 137 nt
Organism: Salarias fasciatus (jewelled blenny)
Lineage: Eukaryota; Metazoa; Chordata; Actinopteri; Blenniiformes; Blenniidae
Source: Ensembl
GCAUGGCCGAAUUCUGCUCCAGCUGAUCUGUGCUGGAUGCAGUCAGACACCAUGCAAAAGAAAAGCCUCCUUCCCGCUAAAUGAGCAGACGAGCACCUCCGAUGGUCUUGUCCAGCUGCACAGGAUCGAGUACAAGU